UACGUAGGCAGCAAGCGUUGUUCGGAGUUACUGGGCGUAAAGAGUGUGUAGGCGGUCGUCCAAGUUUGGUGUGAAAUCUCCCGGCUUAACUGGGAGGGUGCGCCGAAAACUGGAUAACUGGAGUAUGGGAGAGGAAAGCGGAAUUCCUGGUGUAGCGGUGAAAUGCGUAGAUAUCGAGAGGAACACCUGCGGCGAAGGCGGGUUGCUGGGCUGACACUGACGCUGAGGCGCGAAAGCUAGGGGAGCGAACGGG
This 253-nucleotide ribosomal RNA is filed under the name uncultured bacterium. Its description in RNAcentral is "partial 16S ribosomal RNA". It matches the Rfam family "Bacterial small subunit ribosomal RNA", at positions 524 to 776 of the family's 1533-position model. The record is from RNAcentral.